AAGAAACCAACAGGGAUUGCCUUAGUAGCGGCGAGUGAAGCGGCAAUAGCUCAAAUUUGAAAUCUGGCACCUUCGGUGUCCGAGUUGUAAUUUGAAGAAGGUAUCUUUGGUUUUGGCUCUUGUCUAUGUUUCUUGGAACAGGACGUCACAGAGGGUGAGAAUCCCGUGCGAUAAGAUGCCCAAUUCCAUGUAAAGUUCCUUCGACGAGUCGAGUUGUUUGGGAAUGCAGCUCUAAGUGGGUGGUAAAUUCCAUCUAAAGCUAAAUAUUGGCGAGAGACCGAUAGCGAACAAGUACUGUGAAGGAAAGAUGAAAAGAACUUUGAAAAGAGAGUGAAAAAGUACGUGAAAUUGUUGAAAGGGAAGGGCUUGAGGUCAGACUUGGUUUUACCAGGCCAGCAUCAGUUUGGAUGGCAGGAUAAUAGCUAAGAAAUGUGGCACUGCUUCGGUAGUGUGUUAUAUUCUUUGUUGAUACUGCCUGUCUAGACUGAGGACUGCGUCUUUGACUAGGAUGCUGGCAUAAUGACCUUAAGCCGCCCGU
This 538-nucleotide ribosomal RNA is filed under the name Yamadazyma riverae. Its description in RNAcentral is "eukaryotic LSU rRNA". It matches the Rfam family "Eukaryotic large subunit ribosomal RNA", at positions 59 to 652 of the family's 3401-position model. The record is from RNAcentral. Lineage: Eukaryota; Fungi; Ascomycota; Pichiomycetes; Serinales; Debaryomycetaceae.